AAUGUUUGACAGGACGACAGAUCAAAGGUCCACGUUUGUUUUCCUGUCUGAUCCACCUUCACACUUAAGAGUGGUUUCUGUCAGCGCCGGAGUGUAAAUCUGAUCUGGGUUUUCUGGUGCGUGGGAGCAUCCUGUCUUCAGCAUCAUGGUGGAACUGGCCUUCUACCCAGCAGUGGCACUGAUAUAUUUUUUCGGAGUGAUGAAAGCCACACAGGACGAUCGGGUGGAGCUGGAUGACCGGGCGUCGAUGAACGUGUUCUGUCUGUUUGUGUUGGCACAGCCGCUGUGUCUGGUGCUGGGAGGAUACACUGGCAUGGCUACAUACCUCCUCACAGCUCUGGUUUCCUACAACUUUCUGCCUUGGAGGGAGACAAAACAGCCUGUGAAGGAAAAAGAAUCAAAGAAGAAGAAGAAAAAGUGAGAACAAGGAACGUGCACUGUAUGGAGAUAGAGAGACAGUCAAUUCAAACAGGUUGUGAAAGGGAAAAUAAUUUAUAUGAGGAAUAAGCAUUCAGUGUGAAAAUCUUUUUUACAUGAAUAAAUUAAUGUGUUGCUA
Long non-coding RNA from Epinephelus moara (kelp grouper), 556 nucleotides. RefSeq lists it as uncharacterized. Lineage: Eukaryota; Metazoa; Chordata; Actinopteri; Perciformes; Serranidae. The record is from RefSeq and is a predicted model, not a curated record. The transcript is spliced from 2 exons.